RNAcentral lists this ribosomal RNA (323 nucleotides) under uncultured eukaryote. RNAcentral describes it as "partial 18S ribosomal RNA". It matches the Rfam family "Eukaryotic small subunit ribosomal RNA", at positions 1470 to 1796 of the family's 1831-position model. The record is from RNAcentral.
CCCUUAGAUGUUCUGGGCUGCACGCGCGCUACACUGAUGCGCUCAACGAGUUUAUGAACUUGCCCGGAAGGGUUGGUUAAUCUUUUUAAAACGCAUCGUGAUGGGGAUAGAUUAUUGCAAUUAUUAAUCUUCAACGAGGAAUUCCUAGUAAGCGCGAGUCAUCAGCUCGUGCUGAUUACGUCCCUGCCCUUUGUACACACCGCCCGUCGCUCCUACCGAUGGGUGAUCCGGUGAAUGAUUCGGACUCGGUUGCCUCUAGCCACUAGUGGCGCUCGAGAAAGUUUUGUGAACCUUAUCACUUGGAGGAAGGAGAAGUCGUAACA